Molecule: long non-coding RNA, 1275 nt
Filed under: Sus scrofa (pig)
Lineage: Eukaryota; Metazoa; Chordata; Mammalia; Artiodactyla; Suidae
Description: lncRNA (ENSSSCG00060050284.1)
Source: RNAcentral
UCGAGGCUCCUUUACAACCACUUGCUCAGGGACUUUCCUUGGGGGUGCACAGAACCCAGAAAUCAUCCACGGACGAACCAGAACCCCAAAUGAGCCGUGGCCCUCAGGGGCACGAGCCCUCCCUGCUCAGGUGCGCCCUGUCCCACGGGAGCCACGCAUCACACCCCGCGUCUGGGCUGCGCUGAGCUCGAUGUGCUCCUGGUGGGUCGCCCUCCACCCUCCGCCAGGAACAGCAGGUGCUGCCCGAGCCCUCCAGGGGGCAGGGUGGGCUUCCUCUCGGGGCCCCCACCCCCCUGCCCAGCUUCCGGGCAAGAGAGGGCAGAUCCAAAGCUACCCCUGCAGCUGUUGGCCUCGCUAAGUUUCCUUUUUCCAGGGCAGCCCCCGAAACGAAACCUUGGUGUGGCUUGGGUGCCAGAGCUUCUCAGAAAAGGGAAGUGAUCCCUGGCAGGACCUGGGGGCCCCACCCAACCUUCCGGGCACCCAGGCCCUGGCCGGCGGGAAUCCCCUGCACCGGUGAAGGCAGCACAGAAACGAAACGCACAGGGGGCCGGCUGGGCAGCUCCCCAGGGGCCUGGACAGGCAGAGGCUGAGGGGCUGUCACCGGCCACAUGAGCGCUGUGGCUGGGAGGGGACACCCAGGUCUGUGGGCGCUGGCACCCCACAGGGCCCGGGGUGGGGCAGGGGUCCUCUAGGGGGACCUCUGGGGGGCACUGUGCGAGUGCAGGGGUGUGGCGGGGGCCGAGGCCGCGGGCAGGAGGCAGGAGGGAGGGUGGCAGCCAGGCCUGGAGCCGGCCCACGGAGCAGGGGGAUGGAUGGAGCUCGCCAGACCCCGGGGGUCCCUGGCCCUCCGCCGAGGCUGAGGGGGCGCAGUGCCCAAGCCGCCCGCGGGCCCCGGGCCUUCUCAGUGGGUCUCGCCCCUCUCCAGAGGCCUCCGACUGCGGCGGGCUCUGCCCGAGCCUCCAGCACAUGACUUCCAGGCUGGCCGGCUUUCCAGGCAGCCUUGGCAAAACCCCGAGCUUCAGUUACACAAUCGACACCCCCACCCUCCAGCCCCCAAGGGUUCCCGGCAGUCGGCCUGUCCCGGCAGGGUGGGGGCAGGGCCCUGCUCCUGGCUUGGUCCCUGCAAGGAAUCCCUUCCCAGGGGCCAGACCCCACAUGCUGGCCCGGGGGGGGUCCUUUCCUGGACGAAUGAGUAAGGCGCCUCUUUGGGGCCAGGUCACCCACGCGCAGCAUCGAAUGAGCCAGAGACUGGCCUUUUGGGGACAUUUCAUGUAA